GGGGGGUGGUUCUACCGGAACGCAUUUUCCUGGUUCUCUGUGGGAUCUGCCAGUCAUAAGAGGUGGGUGUUUCUUCCGGAAUCCAUUUCGCUGGUUCCCUGUAAUUAAGCAGGCUUAAGUGAUUUGUCCUGUGUGCUGCUGGGUACAGUGAAGGAAGCUCAGGCAAGUUCUGAAAGUGCGACAUGAUGAGGAUAUUGUCACUUCCCACAGAGAACGCAGUGACGUACUAUGAUGUCCUGGUGAGCUUUACUCAGGAAGAAUGGGCUUUGCUGGAUCCUUCCCAGAAGAGUCUCUACAAAGAUGUGAUGCUCGAAACCUAUAAGAACCUCACUGCCAUAGGGUAUAACUGGGAAGAUGACAAUAUUGAAGAAGAUUGUGAAAAUUCUGGAAGACCCAGAAGGCAUCUUCAAAGGGAUGGACCAAGUAAUACUGGAGAGAAACCCUUUGGAUGUAUUCAAUAUGAUGGAGCCUUUGCAAGAAACAGUUAUCAUCAGUUAUAUAAGAGCACUGGAUCUUUCAUGUCUUAUACUGAUCAUCAAACACAUAGAAGACCACACACUGAAGAAAAAGUCUAUGAUGGUAACCAAUGUGGUAAAACCUUUUCAUGUCACAGCCAUUUUGAAAUCCGUAAAGGAACAUAUACUGGAGAAAAACCCUAUGAAUGUAAUCAAUGUGGAAAAACCUUUGCAAGUCACAGCAAUCUUCAAAUCCAUAAAAGAAUACAUACUGGAGAGAAACCCUAUGAAUGUAAACAAUGUGGAAAAGCCUUUAGACAUCACGGUUCUCUUCAUAUCCAUAAAAGAAUACAUACAGGAGAGAAACCCUAUAAAUGUAACCAGUGUGGCAGAACCUUUGCCCAAUUUGGUCAUCUUCAAUGUCAUAAAAUAACACAUACUGGAGAGAAACUCUAUCAAUGUAACCAAUGUGGGAAAGCCUUUGCAUAUCACAAAACUCUUAAAAUCCAUAAAGAAGAAACACAUACUGGAGAGAAACCCUAUGAAUGUAAUCAAUGUGGCAAAGCCUUUGCAUGUCGUAGAUAUCUUCGAAUCCAUAAAAAAACACAUACUGGAGAGAAACCCUUUGAAUGUAACCAAUGUGGCAAAGCCUUUGCAUAUCACAGAACUCUUCAGAUCCAUAAAACAAAACAUACUGGAGAGAAACCCUAUGAAUGUAACCAAUGUGGCAAAGCCUUUACAUAUCACAAAACUCUUCAAGUCCAUGAAAGAACACAUACUGGAGAGAAACUCUAUCAAUGUAACCAAUGUGGCAAAGCCUUUGCAUAUCACAGAACUCUUCAAAUCCAUGAAAGAACACAUACUGGAGAGAAACUCUAUGAAUGUAAUCAAUGUGGCAAAGCCUUUGCAUGUCGCAGAUAUCUUCAAACACAUAAAACAACACAUACUGGAGAGAAACCCUAUGAAUGUAACCAGUGUGGCAAAGCCUUUAAACAAUAUGUUCAUCUUCAGUGUCAUCAAAGGAUACAUACUGGAGAGAAACCCUAUGAAUGUAACCAAUGUGGCAAAGCCUUUACAUGUCACAGAUAUCUUCAAAUCCAUAAAAGAACACAUACUGGAGAGAAACCCUAUGAAUGUAAUCAAUGUGGCAAAGCCUUUGCACGUCACAGCAAUCUUCAAACUCAUAAAAGAACACAUACUGGGGAGAAACUCUAUGAAUGUAAACAAUGUGGCAAAGCCUUUACAUGUCACAGUUAUCUUAAAAUCCAUGAAAGGAGACAUACUGGAGAGAAACCCUAUGAAUGUAAACAAUGUGGCAAAGCCUUUGCAUGUUACAGAUCUCUUCAAAUCCAUAAAAGAACACAUACUGGAGAGAAACCCUAUGAAUGUAAUCAAUGUGGCAAAGCCUUUGCAUGUCCCAGAUACCUUCAAAUCCAUAAAAGAACACAUACUGGAGAGAAACCCUAUGAAUGUAAACAAUGUGGCAAAGCCUUUGCAUAUCACAGAACUCUUCAAGUCCAUAAAAGAACACAUACUGGAGAGAAACCUUAUGAAUGUAAUCAAUGUGGCAAGGCCUUUGCAUGUCGCAGAAAUCUUCAAAUCCAUAAAAGAACACAUACUGGAGAGAAACCCUAUGAAUGUAACCAGUGUGGCAAAGCCUUUACACAAUUUGUUCAUCUUCAACGUCAUGAAAUAACACAUACUGAAAAGAAACCCUAUGAAUGUAACUAAUGUGGCAAAGCCUUUACAGGUCACAGUACUCUUCGAAAUCAUAAAAGAAUACAUACUAGAGAAAAACCCUAUGAAUGUAACCAGUGUACCAAAGCUUUUACACAAUUUGUUCAUCUUCAGUGUCAUCAAAGGAUACAUUCUGGAGAGAAACCCUAUGAAUGUAAACACUGUGUCAAAGCCUUUACAUGUCAUAGUACUCUUCAAGUCCAUAAAAGAACACAUACUGGAGAGAAACCCUAUGAAUGUAACCAAUGUGGCAAAGCCUUUGUAUGUCACAGCUAUCUUCAAAUCCAUACAAGAACACAUACUGGAGAAAAACCCUGUGUAUGUAAAUGCGACGAAGCAUUGUCAUGUCACAGUACUCCAUGAAAUCAUAAAAGAACACAUACUGAAGAGAAACCCUAUGAAUAUAACUAGUGUGGUAAAACCUUUGCACGACACAGUCAGCUUCAAACAUAAAAGAAUACAUACUGAAGAGAAACCCUGAUAAUGUAGUGAAUGUAGUAAAGGCUUUGUUAUUGUAGUCUGAAAAGGAAUUUUAAAAACAAAUUCUUGUGAGAACCCUAUAAAUGUAAUCAAUCUAAUAAAGCCAUUUGUUAACAGUCACCUUCUAAGGGAUGCAACAUAAUUUAUGGGAAUAUAGUGGAUGGGUGUGUCUGAUUCUUUUGCCUACUCUCGAGAUGGUUCUUGUCUUAAUUAUUUGCUUUGCGAGGUUUGAUAUGAAGGUUUGUGCCUAUUUUUAUUAAAAUAUGGUAUGCCUUGUUCAUUUGCUA
Molecule: long non-coding RNA, 2959 nt
Filed under: Mus musculus (house mouse)
Lineage: Eukaryota; Metazoa; Chordata; Mammalia; Rodentia; Muridae
Description: predicted gene, 51425
Source: RNAcentral